GGUAAAAUGGCUGAGUGAGGCAUUAGACUGUAAAUCUAAAGACAGGGGUGUGAGUCCCCUUUUUACC
This 67-nucleotide transfer RNA is filed under the name Eonycteris spelaea (lesser dawn bat). Its description in RNAcentral is "tRNA-Tyr". It matches the Rfam family "tRNA". Rfam says of the family: Transfer RNA (tRNA) molecules are approximately 80 nucleotides in length. Their secondary structure includes four short double-helical elements and three loops (D, anti-codon, and T loops). Lineage: Eukaryota; Metazoa; Chordata; Mammalia; Chiroptera; Pteropodidae. The record is from RNAcentral.